Molecule: ribosomal RNA, 253 nt
Filed under: uncultured bacterium
Lineage: Bacteria
Description: partial 16S ribosomal RNA
Rfam family: Bacterial small subunit ribosomal RNA
Source: RNAcentral
UACGGAGGGUGCGAGCGUUAAUCGGAAUAACUGGGCGUAAAGGGCAUGUAGGUGGUAAAUUAAGUCAGAUGUGAAAGCCUUGGGCUUAACCUAAGAACUGCAUUUGAUACUGGUGAGCUAGAGUACUGUAGAGGUGGGUGGAAUUUCAGGUGUAGCGGUGAAAUGCGUAGAGAUCUGAAGGAAUAUCAGUGGCGAAGGCGACCCUCUGGACAGAUACUGACACUGAGAUGCGAAAGCGUGGGGAGCAAACAGG